Molecule: ribosomal RNA, 114 nt
Filed under: uncultured bacterium
Lineage: Bacteria
Description: partial 16S ribosomal RNA
Rfam family: Bacterial small subunit ribosomal RNA
Source: RNAcentral
CGGUGAAUACGUUCCCGGACCUUGCACACACCGCCCGUCAAGCCAUGGAAGCCGGGUGCACCUAAAGUCGGUAACCGUAAGGAGCCGCCUAGGGUGAAACUGGUAACUGGGGCU